UCAAACGCCCUACAGAGUUCAGACCAUCCCCGCUACUCCCACGGCCACCAUCAGAAUCCAGUCCGCCGGUAUGGUGAUGAAGAUGAAGACAAUGUUGAGGGUUGUUAUGAUGCUGUUUGUGGUAGGGAUUUGCUGCGUUGAGGCUGGGUCGCAGCAGACGUCUCCUUCGCCGGCGGUGGACUGCUCGAGUCUGGUACUGAACAUGGCGGACUGCCUGUCGUAUGUGUCGAACGGGAGCACCGCGUCGAAGCCGGAGGGGACGUGCUGCACAGGGCUGAAGACGGUGCUGAAGGCGGACGCGGAGUGUCUGUGUGAGGCCUUCAAGAGCAGUGCGCAGUAUGGGGUGGUUUUGAACGUUACCAAGGCUAUCUAUCUCCCUACUGCCUGCCGCGUCUCUGCUCCUUCUGUCAGUAACUGUGGACGUGAGUCAUCUCUGUUUGUCUUUCUCUACCUAUUUUUGGCUUUUUCCUUUCGUCCUGUUUGGUUUCAAGGAAAAUUAGUACUUGAGAAUUUUUGCCAGAAAUUUUUUGUUACUGACUGCUCUUGUGGGUUUUCCUGACAAUGAUCUUCUUGUAUUUUUUUGUUUGGCAGUUUCGAUCACUCCUGCUGGUUCUCCUGGUACGUUAUGUCUAUAUAUAUUUGAUGACCUUAGAAAAACUGAUAUUUAUUUGCUUAUUUGAUUCCAAUACAAAGCAAAUAAUUAUCAUUUUUUAUGUUUUUUUUUUCCCUUUCUUUUGAACUCUUAGUAGGUAGAAAUGAAAUCAAUCAAUAGUUGCUUUGUUUGGUUGCCGAGAAAUACUUGAUGUUACCCCAUUAUUAUAUUGUGGGUUUUAGAUCUAUGCUUAUCCAUUAUUUAGGAGAUUCAAACCUCCUCAGAACUUUUAUUUUUAGAAUUGAACUGAAGAUUCUCUCUCUUUCUAACAUAGAAAAGAAAAUUCACUAAUGCCUCAAAAUUUGAUUUUGUUUGCAGUGGAAAUCCAAUCUCCAGAAGCAUCUCCAUCAUCAGAAGCCACAGCACCUGCCUCGCCCACAUCCGCCAGUGAGAUAGCUAUGGCGCCGGCGCCGGCGCCGGGAAGCUCGUCUUCUUCUAUGGUGU
This 1096-nucleotide long non-coding RNA is filed under the name Vitis vinifera (wine grape). RNAcentral describes it as "long non-coding RNA (VVIN_LNC003845)". The record is from RNAcentral. Lineage: Eukaryota; Viridiplantae; Streptophyta; Magnoliopsida; Vitales; Vitaceae.